Molecule: long non-coding RNA, 2071 nt
Organism: Gambusia affinis (western mosquitofish)
Lineage: Eukaryota; Metazoa; Chordata; Actinopteri; Cyprinodontiformes; Poeciliidae
Exons: 3
Source: RefSeq, a predicted model, not a curated record
ACAACUUGUUUUUUUGGGGGGGUUUUAUUAUCCACUGAUUAUUGCAGCUUCUCUAUGAAUCUGAUCCCAGUUUGUGACUAAUCGAUGUUUCUGCUCUGGCUGUUGUGCACACGAUCCUGGAAAUGUGACAGUCCACAGCUGACCUGAAAUUGUUGUUAUCUGGAACAUUUGUUAUUUGUUUUGUGGCCUUCUGUUUGCUCCCUUGUGUAAAGAAAUGAGGACACGCUGACCAGUUAAACAGCUGGAAAUGUUUAUCAUCAAGACUGCCUCGGGGUAACAGUAUUAGCACAAGGACCCAGCAUCUUCUGCGUCGUCAGAUGACAGCUUGUUAAUUUGGACAUUUGUCCAGACAGCAGCGCAGGAGUGCAUUUGAGAUUGAACAAAUCACCCUGGGGACUCUCUGGUCACUGCCCAGAAAUCUUCAAAUCUUUUGCUCCAGCAAAACUGUGUGUGCAUGAUGAUGACUGCAACUAAAGAGAGAAAUGUGUGUAUUAUGGAUCUGCCGUCUAUGCCCAUGCUAUUUUGCAUAAGUCAUGAUACAAUGUACAGUGAAUCAAAAGUGCUGCUUCUACGGGUGUGAUUACAUUUGCACGCCAGGUGUUCCAGAGAAGCCAGGAAGCUGCCCCAAUAAACAGUUCAUGCCCUGGUGUUAUAACUUUUGUGAUCACGAUGGUAAUUACCCAGGGGCAAAGAAGUGCUGAUGUUAUGCUUAAAAGCACACAGUUGAAAUGAGAAACCAGAGGUUUGCGUGCGCCGCAUAAAAAGAUAUACACCUUUAGUUUUUCCUCUCUGUCUGAAGUUAAAUCAAACCCCAUUUCUCGUUUUCAGAAUUAUCAAAACUAUUUCUUCUAAAUUCUCCAGUAAAGAGAGAAAGAAUAUGUCAGAGAUUCAAAAUCAAAAGUUUACAUACAGAAUGAUUACACUGUUACAAAAAAAAAGAUUUUUUGGAAGUUGUCUGUUUUUCAUCUUAAUUAGGACUAUUUUUGCACCACCGAAUCCUAAAAUGAGAUCCAUCUUUCCCACUUAGGCCAGGCUUUUACUCUAAUUUGAUUAAGAAAAAUCUGAUCUUCUGAUUAAAUUGAUUACAUUUUUGUGACAUUGUCAGUUAAUUUCCAGUAAUAUUUCUCAUCCAAACAAGGUUUUAGGAAAAAGAAAGAAAGGUUUACUAACAGAGUGUAUUAAUUAAAUGUUACAAACUUGGAUUUCUGCAAAUUAAAUAAACACUUAUAAGGGCAAUGACAUGUAAAUUGAACAUAAUGUCUUCAUUGUGCAAAAUUCUCUGUCUCUUUUAUGUCCUGAUGGAGUUUCUCCUCCUGAUCAUCACUCAUUGAUCCCAGAGUCUCUGGAAACCGAUCCAAAUGUGAGAACAAGCAGUGCAUUUUGAUGCUCAUGUUGCAUCCAGGAUGUUGAUCUGACUGAGCAAAACCAAUGUGAUUUUUGGAUUCAGCACAUCUACUGGCUCUGAAGAUAUUGAUAAAUUAAUUUCCCACAUAUUCUUUCUCUAAUUAUUUUGGCUCUUAGCAAACAGAAACAAUUUUGCUAAUUCCAACCACCCUGAAACAAAAUAAAUCUGGUCUGAUUUAUCUUGAGACAUCUUCUUCUCAUCUUCUCCAUCCAUUCAUCCCUCUAGGGAUGAAUGGAUGGGUUGAUGGAUGAUUUUUGGUAAAUGCCAGAGUAAGAAGAGUUUGUCAAACAUUUUUCAAAUUCAGAAGUGCUGGACAUACGGCUAUGAAGGACUGGACACAGUAAAAUGGUGUGACAAAUAUUGAUUUAACAAUACACUGAAUUAAACUCUAGUUCCUGCAACAAGAAGAGGAGAGGUAUCAGGAAAAAAACAACUCUGUGAUGUCAGAGGGAUCCUUAAACCCCACGGCUAGAAACGUUUGUUUAUGCUAAAACAGUCACUGGGUCAAACAUUUAUCAGCAGAGAUAAGGUUUACAACAGAGAGAAGGUUUAAAACAUGUAUCCUUCUCAACCAGUAAUCAGAAAAAAAAAAAAAAAUUGUGAAUCUGAGUAAUCUAUGGAUUAAAUUUUUCAUCCAGUCAAUCCUUUUGUUUAAAAAGUAGCAUU